AGAGAGAGACAUGCGCGCAUAUCAAUAAGCGGAGGAAAAGAAACUAACAAGGAUUCCCUUAGUAACGGCGAGUGAAGCGGGAAGAGCUCAAAUUUGAAAUCUUCAAGGUUUUACCUUGACGAAUUGUAGUUUAAAGAAGUGUUUUCUGCUGAGGUUUUGGUAAAAGUUCUUUGGAAUAGGACAUCAUAGAGGGUGAGAAUCCCGUAUUUGACCAUUAUUUUCAGCUUUGUGAUACACUUUCAAAGAGUCGGAUUGUUUGGGAAUGCAGUCCAAAAUGGGUGGUAAAUUCCAUCUAAAGCUAAAUAUUGGCGAGAGACCGAUAGCGAACAAGUACCGUGAGGGAAAGAUGAAAAGAGCUUUGAAAAGAGAGUUGAAACAGUACGUGAAAUUGUCAAAAGGGAAGCGUUUGACACCAGUGUUGUUUUCUCGAAAAUCAAUUAAAAAUGGUCUCGAUUUUGUAUUGUUGAGACCUUAAAAGCUCACUGUACAUUUUUCGUGUCUUUUUUAAUGCACUUUUCGUUUAACAAGUCAACAUCAGUUUCUUUUGUUGUAAAAGGGUCAUUGGAAGGUGGCUUUCCUUUCGGAGAAAGUGUUUAUAGCCUUUGGCCUCUGCAAUCGGAAGAGACUGAGGUCUGCAGCGUAGACUCUUCGGGGUUAGAUACAUUUGUGCUAAGUUAUAGCUUUUUAUAGACAACUUGUUGACUAUAAUUAGUCUUGUAGCUUACUCGCUUAUGCUAUUUUACCUACGCUUAGGAUGUUGAAGUCAUCGUAUCGCGC
This 777-nucleotide ribosomal RNA is filed under the name uncultured Neocallimastigales. RNAcentral's name for it is "partial large subunit ribosomal RNA". It matches the Rfam family "Eukaryotic large subunit ribosomal RNA", at positions 23 to 645 of the family's 3401-position model. The record is from RNAcentral. Lineage: Eukaryota; Fungi; Neocallimastigomycota; Neocallimastigomycetes; Neocallimastigales.